This 462-nucleotide ribosomal RNA is filed under the name uncultured Thermotogae bacterium. RNAcentral's name for it is "bacterial SSU rRNA". It matches the Rfam family "Bacterial small subunit ribosomal RNA", at positions 338 to 795 of the family's 1533-position model. The record is from RNAcentral. Lineage: Bacteria; Thermotogati; Thermotogota; Thermotogae.
CCUACGGGUGGCUGCAGUAGGGAAUAUUGGGCAAUGGGCGGAAGCCUGACCCAGCCAUGCCGCGUGAAGGAAGACGGCCUUAUGGGUUGUAAACUUCUUUACUAUGCGACUAACUAGAUUUACGAGAUAAUUCUAUAGAAUGUAGCAUAGCAAAAAGCACCGGCUAACUACGUGCCAGCAGCCGCGGUAAGACGUAGGGGGCAAGCGUUACCCGGAAUUACUGGGCGUAAAGGGGGCGUAGGCGGUAAAAGAAGUCAUCUGUGAAAACCUAUUGCUCAACGAUAGGCUAGCGGAUGAAACUGAAUUACUUGAGGGCACCAGAGGUAGACGGAAUUACCCGAGUAGGGGUGAAAUCCGCAGAUACGGGUAGGAACGCCGGUGGAGAAGUCGGUCUACUGGGGUGUACCAGACGCUGAGGCCCGAAAGCUAGGGGAGCAAACCGGAUUAGAUACCCUGGUAGUC